This 799-nucleotide ribosomal RNA is filed under the name uncultured bacterium. RNAcentral describes it as "bacterial SSU rRNA". It matches the Rfam family "Bacterial small subunit ribosomal RNA", at positions 8 to 796 of the family's 1533-position model. The record is from RNAcentral.
AGAGUUUGAUCCUGGCUCAGGAUGAACGCUGGCGGCGUGCUUAACACAUGCAAGUCGAACGGACUUAUCCUUUGUGAAGCGAUUAGUUUACUAAGAGUGGAACGGUGGAUAAGUUAGUGGCGGACGGGUGAGUAACGCGUGGGCAACCUGCCUUGCACUGGGGGAUAACAGCCGGAAACGGCUGCUAAUACCGCAUAAGCGCACGCUACCGCAUGGUAGUGUGUGAAAAACUCCGGUGGUGCAAGAUGGGCCCGCGUCUGAUUAGUUAGUUGGGAGGGUAACGGCCUACCAAGACGAUGAUCAGUAGCCGGCUUGAGAGAGUGAACGGCCACAUUGGGACUGAGACACGGCCCAAACUCCUACGGGAGGCAGCAGUGGGGAAUAUUGCACAAUGGGGGAAACCCUGAUGCAGCGACGCCGCGUGAGUGAAGAAGUAUUUCGGUAUGUAAAGCUCUAUCAGCAGGGAAGAAAAUGACGGUACCUGACUAAGAAGCCCCGGCUAACUACGUGCCAGCAGCCGCGGUAAUACGUAGGGGGCAAGCGUUAUCCGGAUUUACUGGGUGUAAAGGGAGUGCAGGCGGCCAGAUAAGUCUGAUGUGAAAGCCCGCGGCUCAACCGCGGGACUGCAUUGGAAACUGUCAGGCUGGAGUGUCGGAGAGGUAAGCGGAAUUCCUAGUGUAGCGGUGAAAUGCGUAGAUAUUAGGAGGAACACCAGUGGCGAAGGCGGCUUACUGGACGAUAACUGACGCUGAGGCUCGAAAGCGUGGGGAGCAAACAGGAUUAGAUACCCUAGUAGUCC